RNAcentral lists this ribosomal RNA (464 nucleotides) under uncultured bacterium. RNAcentral's name for it is "partial 16S ribosomal RNA". It matches the Rfam family "Bacterial small subunit ribosomal RNA", at positions 339 to 795 of the family's 1533-position model. The record is from RNAcentral.
CUACGGGUCGCUGCAGUGGGGAAUAUUGGACAAUGGGGGAAACCCUGAUCCAGCAAUGCCGCGUGUGUGAAGAAGGCCUGCGGGUUGUAAAGCACUUUCGGUUGGGAGGACUGCUUCUAGCACUAAUAUUGUUGGAAGUUGACGUUACCUUCAGAAGAAGCACCGGCUACUCCGUGCCAGCAGCCGCGGUAAUACGGAGGGUGCGAGCGUUAAUCGGAAGUACUGGGCGUAAAGCGCGCGUAGGCGGCUAGAUCAGUCGGGUGUGAAAGCCCCGGGCUUAACCUGGGAACUGCAUCCGAUACUGUCUAGCUUGAGUACAGGAGAGGAGAGUGGAAUUCCACAUGUAGCGGUGAAAUGCGUAGAUAUGUGGAGGAACACCAAUGGCGAAGGCAGCUCUCUGGCCUGAUACUGACGCUGAGGUGCGAAAGCGUGGGGAGCAAACAGGAUUAGAUACCCCCGUAGUC